Molecule: ribosomal RNA, 385 nt
Filed under: uncultured bacterium
Lineage: Bacteria
Description: bacterial SSU rRNA
Rfam family: Bacterial small subunit ribosomal RNA
Source: RNAcentral
GGACGAACGCUGGCGGCGUGCUUAACACAUGCAAGUCGAGCGGUAAGGCCCUUUUGGGGGUACACGAGCGGCGAACGGGUGAGUAACACGUGGGUGACCUGCCCUCAGCUCUGGGAUAAGCCUGGGAAACUGGGUCUAAUACUGGAUAUGACCUUUCCUCGCAUGGGGGUUGGGUGAAAGUUUUUCGGCUGGGGAUGGGCCCGCGGCCUAUCAGCUUGUUGGUGGGGUGAUGGCCUACCAAGGCGACGACGGGUAGCCGGCCUGAGAGGGCGACCGGCCACACUGGGACUGAGACACGGCCCAGACUCCUACGGGAGGCAGCAGUGGGAAUAUUGCGCAAUGGGCGGAAGCCUGACGCAGCGACGCCGCGUGGGGGAUGACGGCC